GACCCAGAUUCACCGCUACCAGAUUUUAUCCUCUUUGGGCUUUCCCUUUUGGGCUUCCCCUCAAGGCUUUAAAACGUGUCUGCUAGGAGAAGGUUUCCACACC
Cucurbita maxima (winter squash) is the source of this 103-nucleotide long non-coding RNA. RefSeq lists it as uncharacterized. The record is from RefSeq and is a predicted model, not a curated record. NCBI's taxonomy places the organism in Eukaryota, Viridiplantae, Streptophyta, Magnoliopsida, Cucurbitales, Cucurbitaceae. The transcript is spliced from 3 exons.